UUAAUUCGAGUACAGGCCGGAAAAUUGCCAUCGACGGAAAUAGAAAUAAAGAAGAAGAAGAGAACGUGAAAAGUACAAUGUUUCGGUCAGAAUUGUGCCAUAUUUAUACGAUGAACAAGAAGAACUUGGUCGUCAUAAAAAAAUAAUAAACCACAGCUUCGAUUCCAUUUCAAAGAUCCGUACGAGACUUUUGUGGACUCCGGAGUGACAUAAUGUUUGAUUGAGCAUCGGCGUACAUCAAUCAGGGUCAAUCUUUAAACUUUCUCUGGUACCUUGAGUAGGUAUUCGUUUCACUCUUGUCGUCACCACACACGGUGUGUGGAAUUACGUCGUUGUCGCUGUUAAUGGAAGUUUUUUGCGCAUAUAUUUACUAUACUGUUGUUGUUGCUACUGGCUGCUGGUGUCACACACGUUGUUUUCGUUGGUGAAUUUUUGAUUUUCGAAUUCGGCGCCGAUAUGAAGAUUGUAUCGAUAUUUGCGUUGUACGCGGUGAUCUUGAUCGUGGCAUGUUUUGGUUACAGUUCGGCGCAAACUACACAGAAACCGUCUUCCAAUGGUACAAGGAAGCUGCAGAUUACGGAGAAUUCUAAUCCUCAAGUAUCUUACGGAACAGCUUUCGAUGAGAUCACAGUCGAAUCAAAUUUGAACAUUAGAGGAAAAAAUCCAAGCUCACGAUCCCAACGUACGCAGCUAUUCCCAGUCAAGACUGCUAAUGCUAGUGAUACGAAGGCAAAUGAAAACAAACCAAAUAAUAUUAAAUUAGCUACAAAUGCUUAACUUCUGCAGUCGAGUAUUCAAGAAUAAGGUUCAACAGUGUCAUAUGUAUUAUUACGUUUUGGAAUCAUUCAUACAGACCAGAGACCAGGCUUCGAGAAUAUUUUCAUGGAAAAAAAUUGCCCAAGUUUUAUUUUUAUCGUCGUCGUUACGCUUUAUGAUUUUUAGUACUUAAUUUUUUAUUUUAAUAUAUAUAUUUUUUAGUAAGUAUUUCAAAAAGCCAAAAAAAUAUUUUAACGUUGAAACGAUUAUUCGUUUCAAUGUCACUUCAGAUAAUGAUAAAGUAAAUAAGACUACGAGUUACCAAAAUUUUUAUAACGAAGUAUUAACAAACAAAAAAAUUGAAAAAUAUAUUUUUUAAAGGGAGAAAAAAACACGUACAAAAUGAUUUUAUUUUAAAUAAUUUACAUAAUGAUUUGAUCGGAUUUAAUGAGACCACGAUGUAUAGGCAUAUAGAGGCUAGGUUAGGAUAUUAUUUCCUUCUGUAAAAUCUGUAACAGAAAAUCAUGAAAUGGAAAUUAGCCAAACGUAUCGAUAUAAACGAGAAAUUCGAAUAUAUAAUCGAAGAACCAAAAUGAAAUUUACUUUACCCUCCAAAUCCGCCUAACGAAUUGCUACCAGAGGCGGCUUGACUAGAUGAGAAACUUGCAGAAAAUGGUCCAGCUUGGAAGCUGGCUGAAUUACUAGAUGCUUGACUUUGACUUAAACCACCUCCUCCGAAACCGCCGCCGUUUCCGGCGAAACUUCCAGCUUGAGCUGAGCUUCCGGCGAAUCCGGCGCCGCCACCACCAUUACCGUAGCCUGGACCGUAUCCGCCACCGUGUCCGUAUCCACCGCCGCCACCAUGAUGGCCGUGAUGAUGGUGAUGGUGACCGCCGCCACCUUCGUAGUAGCCUCCGCCUCCGCCUCCGUGAUGGUGAUGAUGUGAUUUAAAUCCGAGUAGGCCUAAAAUUGGUUCUGGAGAUCUUUGAAGUCUGGCUACGGCUACGCUUUGUACUUGGGGUAAUUGAGCGAUUUCGUGUUCUGUAAAUUAAUUCGUAGUGGUUAAAAUAGGCUCGAUGGUGAAUGAUUUAAUUUUAGAUAAUUAUGGAAAUUAUUUUCAGUGAGAACAUUUGAUCGUUGAUGUGAUUGAGAAGAAAUAACGAAGUAAAAUCAACGAGAAUUUGAAGAAGCUGAUCGUACGGUUGAUGAGUUGCGAUGAAAUAAAAUAUUUUGGAGACUCCUGAAUCGAGUUAUUUGAUCAUCGAUGAAACAAGAAGACAACAAAGAACGAAAAAGAAGCGAUGAAUUGCAACUUUAUGAUUGGCUAUAGAAGAUGGUCAACAUUCGCCAUUGUUGUUUUGCGAAUGAAACGUUCUAAACGACGUCAUAGAAUCGGAGUAAAAUAUUUCAAUUUAUUUUUAUCGUUUUGAAAAACCCAUUCCUAAUAUUUUAAAACGGUACUUCCAAGUUCCAAGUUGCAACACUUUAAUCUUGCGGUUUAUACCUUUGCAGGUACCUACCUAUUUUUUAUUAAUCCGAUCGCGAACCCAACAAAACGAGGAUAAACAACUACCUACUCGAUGAUUUCACGAUGAUCGACAGAAAUAUUUCACAUCACAAUAUAAAAUGACUCAAAAAACUCACCCAAAGGUCCAGCAACUUGUUGUAAUCGUGUUACAGGAGAACAACUCGCAGCGAUGAAGCAACAAGCUACACAAACCACUAAAAAACACGACGAAUCGUACAUGAUUUUGAAAAAGCUACAACAACGAACGAAACCAAAACUGCAAAAAAUCCUCAGCACAGAACACGCGACUUUGGAAACUAUACUUAAAAUAUACCGCGUUUUAAGCGCACUUUGGCCCCGUAAACUUGAACGUUUCGCUGACCGAAAUGAAA
This is a long non-coding RNA of Planococcus citri (citrus mealybug), 2655 nucleotides long. RefSeq lists it as uncharacterized. The transcript has 6 exons. The record is from RefSeq and is a predicted model, not a curated record. NCBI's taxonomy places the organism in Eukaryota, Metazoa, Arthropoda, Insecta, Hemiptera, Pseudococcidae.